AAUGAACGCUGGCGGCGUGCUUAACACAUGCAAGUCGAACGAGAAAGGGAUUGCUUGCAAUCCUGAGUAGAGUGGCGCACGGGUGAGUAACACGUAGAUAAUCUACCUUCAAGCCUGGGAUAACUAUUCGAAAGGAUAGCUAAUACCGGAUGAAGUAGCUUGGCCUAAGUCAGGUUAUGAAAGAUUGCCUCUUCUUGAAAGCAAUUGUUUGGAGAUGAGUCUGCGGACCAUUAGUUUGUUGGUGGGGUAAAGGCCUACCAAGACAGCGAUGGUUAGCUGGUCUGAGAGGAUGAUCAGCCACACUGGAACUGGAACACGGUCCAG
This 324-nucleotide ribosomal RNA is filed under the name uncultured Desulfobacter sp. Its description in RNAcentral is "bacterial SSU rRNA". It matches the Rfam family "Bacterial small subunit ribosomal RNA", at positions 29 to 334 of the family's 1533-position model. The record is from RNAcentral. Lineage: Bacteria; Pseudomonadati; Thermodesulfobacteriota; Desulfobacteria; Desulfobacterales; Desulfobacteraceae.